RNAcentral lists this ribosomal RNA (647 nucleotides) under Bacillus sp. R07-1. Its description in RNAcentral is "bacterial SSU rRNA". It matches the Rfam family "Bacterial small subunit ribosomal RNA", at positions 95 to 728 of the family's 1533-position model. The record is from RNAcentral. Lineage: Bacteria; Bacillati; Bacillota; Bacilli; Caryophanales; Bacillaceae.
GCGGCGGACGGGUGAGUAACACGUGGGCAACCUGCCUGUAAGACUGGGAUAACUCCGGGAAACCGGGGCUAAUACCGGAUAAUUCUUUCCCUCACAUGAGGGAAAGCUGAAAGAUGGUUUCGGCUAUCACUUACAGAUGGGCCCGCGGCGCAUUAGCUAGUUGGUGAGGUAACGGCUCACCAAGGCAACGAUGCGUAGCCGACCUGAGAGGGUGAUCGGCCACACUGGGACUGAGACACGGCCCAGACUCCUACGGGAGGCAGCAGUAGGGAAUCUUCCGCAAUGGACGAAAGUCUGACGGAGCAACGCCGCGUGAGUGAUGAAGGUUUUCGGAUCGUAAAACUCUGUUGUUAGGGAAGAACAAGUACCGGAGUAACUGCCGGUACCUUGACGGUACCUAACCAGAAAGCCACGGCUAACUACGUGCCAGCAGCCGCGGUAAUACGUAGGUGGCAAGCGUUGUCCGGAAUUAUUGGGCGUAAAGCGCGCGCAGGCGGUUCCUUAAGUCUGAUGUGAAAGCCCCCGGCUCAACCGGGGAGGGUCAUUGGAAACUGGGGAACUUGAGUGCAGAAGAGAAGAGUGGAAUUCCACGUGUAGCGGUGAAAUGCGUAGAGAUGUGGAGGAACACCAGUGGCGAAGGCGACUCU